This 261-nucleotide ribosomal RNA is filed under the name uncultured bacterium. RNAcentral's name for it is "partial 16S ribosomal RNA". It matches the Rfam family "Bacterial small subunit ribosomal RNA", at positions 524 to 784 of the family's 1533-position model. The record is from RNAcentral.
AACGUAGGAGGCAAGCGUUAUUCGGAUUUACUGGGCGUAAAGGGUGUGCAGGCGGUUCGGAAAGUUGGAUGUGAAAGCUCCUGGCUUAACUGGGAGAGGUCGUUCAAAACUUCCGGACUAGAGGAUGAGAGAGGAAAGCGGAAUUCCGAGUGUAGUGGUGAAAUGCGUAGAUAUUCGGAGGAACACCAGUGGCGAAAGCGGCUUUCUGGCUCAUUUCUGACGCUCAUACACGAAAGCUAGGGUAGCAAACGGGAUUAGAUA